GCGGAUGCCUUGGCUCUCGGAGGCGAUGAAGGACGUGAUAAGCUGCGAUAAGCUUUGGGGAGGUGCAAAUGACCUUUGAUCCAGAGAUUUCCGAAUGGGACAACCCAAUAUCUUGAAGAGGUAUUAUCCAACGUUGUUGGAGGCUAACGCAGGGAACUGAAACAUCUUAGUACCUGCAGGAAAAGAAAAUAAACAAUGAUUCCCCCAGUAGUGGCGAGCGAACGGGGAACAGCCCAAACCAUCCAUGUUACGGCAUGGGUGGGGUUGUAGGACUACGCCGUUGCAUGAAGACAUCAGAGAAGAACUUUCUGGAAAGAAAGACCAUAGAGCAUGACAGUUGCGUAUUCGAAUGUUGUCGAAGCAUAGUAGUAUCCUGAGUAGCGCGGAGCACGAGGAAUUCUGCGUGAAUCUGCCGGGACCAUCCGGUAAGGCUAAAUACUCCCGAGAGACCGAUAGCGAACCAGUACCGUGAGGGAAAGGUGAAAAGCACUUCGAACAGAAGAGUGAAAUAGUUCCUGAAACCGUGCGCCUACAAGCGGUCGGAGCUCGUUAAUGAGUGACGGCGUGCCUUUUGCAUAAUGAACCUACGAGUUGCCUUUGCCGGCAAGGUUAAGUGUGACGACACACGUAUCCGAAGCGAAAGCGAGUCUGAACAGGGCGUAUAGUCGGCAGUGGCAGACGCGAAACCAAGUGAUCUACCCUUGGCCAGGUUGAAGGCUGGGUAACACCAGCUGGAGGACCGCACCAAUAAGCGUUGAAAAGCUUCUGGAUGAGCUGAGGGUAGGGGUGAAAGGCUAAUCAAACUUGGAGAUAGCUCGUACUCCCCGAAAUGCAUUUAGGUGCAGCCUUGCGGGUUACUGAUGUGAGGUAGAGCGACUGAUAAGAUGCGAGGGCUUCACCGCCUAUCAAGUCUUGACAAACUCCGAAUGCGCAUCAGUUCUACCGCAGGAGUGAGGGCAUGGGUGCUAAGGUCCGUGCCCGAGAGGAGAAGAAUCCGGACCACCUGCUAAGGUCCCGAAAUGACAGCUAAGUUAAACUAACGAAGUCUGACUGCUAAGACAGCUAGGAUGUUGGCUUGGAAGCAGCCAUUCAUUUAAAGAGUGCGUAACAGCUCACUAGUCGAGGAGUCGGGCGUGGAUAAUAAUCGGGUAUUAAGUUGUCUACCGAAGCAGUGGGAUCAUUGAUAUGAUCGGUAGGGGAGCAUUCCAGUCGGCGUCGAAGGCGUACCGUGAGGUAUUCUGGAGCGUCUGGAAAAGCAAAUGUAGGUAUAAGUAACGAUAAAGGGGGCGGGAAACCCCCUCGCCGAAAGACUAAGGUUUCCUGAUCAACGCUAAUCGGAUCAGGGUCAGUCGGGUCCUAAGGCUCAGCCGAACGGCGAUGCCGAUGGCAGAAACGGUUAAUAUUCCGUUACUACCUUCAGGAGUGACGUGGAGACGCAGUAGUGACAGUGCCGCCAUCUGACGGAAUAGAUGGUUGAAGGGUGUAGGAGUCGAUCAUGGCAGGCAAAUCCACCAUGAGAUCCGAACCUGACAGUAUGCCGCGUCCUUCGGGACAAGGCAAUAGUGCGCGUAAGCAUGCUGCCGAGAAAAUCCGCUAAACUUAAUCCUGCAGGUACCCGUACCGCAAACGGACACACGUAGUCGGGAUGAAUAUUCUAAGGCGCUUGAGUGAUUCACGGUUAAGGAACUAGGCAAACUGACCCUGUAACUUCGGGAUAAAGGGUCCCUACCCUUUUAUGGGAGGGCGCAGAGAAUCGGUCCAGGCAACUGUUUAACAAAAACACAGGGCUGUGCCAAAUCGAAAGAUCCAGUAUACAGCCUGACACCUGCCCGGUGCUGGAAGGUUAAGAGGAGAUGUCAUCGAUAAGAGAAGCGUUGAAUUGAAGCCCCAGUAAACGGCGGCCGUAACUAUAACGGUCCUAAGGUAGCGAAAUUCCUUGUCGGGUAAGUUCCGACCUGCACGAAUGGUGUAAUGAUCCGGACGCUGUCUCAACCAUGAGCUCAGUGAAAUUGUAGUAUCGGUGAAGAUGCCGAUUACCCGCGAUGGGACGAAAAGACCCCGUGAACCUUUACUAUAGCUUAUCAUUGAAUCUGGGCACGUGAUGUGUAGGAUAGGUCGGAGGCUUUGAAGCAGGUACGCCAGUAUUUGUGGAGCCGCUGUUGAAAUACGACCCUUUAUUUGUUUGGAUUCUAACCCGUGGAUACGGGGACAUUGAUUGGUGGGUAGUUUGACUGGGGUGGUCGCCUCCAAAAGCGUAACGGAGGCUUCUAAAGGUGCCCUCCGGCCGAUUGGUAACCGGCCUUAGAGUGUAAUGGCAUAAGGGCGCUUGACUGGGAGACUGACAAGUCGAUCAGGUAGGAAACUAGAGCAUAGUGAUCCGGUGUUUCCGUAUGGAAGGGACAUCGCUCAAAGGAUAAAAGGUACUCCGGGGAUAACAGGCUGAUC
This 2445-nucleotide ribosomal RNA is filed under the name human gut metagenome. Its description in RNAcentral is "bacterial LSU rRNA". It matches the Rfam family "Bacterial large subunit ribosomal RNA", at positions 24 to 2487 of the family's 2925-position model. The record is from RNAcentral.